UAGUACGGCGAGUGAAGAGGGAAGAGCCCAAGAUUGAAAGCUGGCGUCUUCGGCGUCCGCAUUGUAAUCUCAAGAAGUGUUUUCCGCUUCGGACCAUGCCUAAGUCCCUUGGAAAAGGGCAUCAUAGAGGGUGAUAAUCCCGUACAUGGCAUGGAGCGCCCGAAGCUUUGUGAUACGCUUUCUACGAGUCGAGUUGUUUGGGAAUGCAGCUCAAAAUGGGUGGUAAAUGCCAUCUAAGGCUAAAUAUUGGGGAGAGACCGAUAGCGAACAAGUACAGUGAUGGAAAGAUGAAAAGAACUUUGAAAAGAGAGUUAAACAGUACGUGAAAUUGCCAAAAGGGAAGGGUAGGAGGUCAGAGAUGCGUCUUGGGAUUCAGCCUUGCUUUUGCAUGGUGUUUUUCCCAAGUUGCAGGCCAACGUCGGUUUUGGGCACUGGAGAAGGGUAGGAGGAACGUGGCACCUCUCGGGGUGUGUUAUAGCCUCCUACUGGAUACAGCGACCGAGACCGAGGAACGCAGCGUACUCGUAAGAGCGGGCCUUUUGGCACCUUUACGCUUAGGGCGUUGGCAUAAUGGCCCUCUACCACCCGUCUUGAAACACGGACCAAAU
RNAcentral lists this ribosomal RNA (608 nucleotides) under uncultured Pseudozyma. RNAcentral describes it as "LSU rRNA". It matches the Rfam family "Eukaryotic large subunit ribosomal RNA", at positions 81 to 671 of the family's 3401-position model. The record is from RNAcentral. Lineage: Eukaryota; Fungi; Basidiomycota; Ustilaginomycetes; Ustilaginales; Ustilaginaceae.